RNAcentral lists this ribosomal RNA (711 nucleotides) under Massilia sp. Its description in RNAcentral is "bacterial SSU rRNA". It matches the Rfam family "Bacterial small subunit ribosomal RNA", at positions 76 to 784 of the family's 1533-position model. The record is from RNAcentral. Lineage: Bacteria; Pseudomonadati; Pseudomonadota; Betaproteobacteria; Burkholderiales; Oxalobacteraceae.
GGGGCAACCUGGCGGCGAGUGGCGAACGGGUGAGUAAUAUAUCGGAACGUACCCUGGAGUGGGGGAUAACGUAGCGAAAGUUACGCUAAUACCGCAUACGAUCCAAGGAUGAAAGUGGGGGACCGCAAGGCCUCAUGCUCCUGGAGCGGCCGAUAUCUGAUUAGCUAGUUGGUGAGGUAAAGGCUCACCAAGGCGACGAUCAGUAGCUGGUCUGAGAGGACGAUCAGCCACACUGGAACUGAGACACGGUCCAGACUCCUACGGGAGGCAGCAGUGGGGAAUUUUGGACAAUGGGCGCAAGCCUGAUCCAGCAAUGCCGCGUGAGUGAAGAAGGCCUUCGGGUUGUAAAGCUCUUUUGUCAGGGAAGAAACGGUAGAGGCUAAUAUCCUUUGCUAAUGACGGUACCUGAAGAAUAAGCACCGGCUAACUACGUGCCAGCAGCCGCGGUAAUACGUAGGGUGCAAGCGUUAAUCGGAAUUACUGGGCGUAAAGCGUGCGCAGGCGGUUUUGUAAGUCUGACGUGAAAUCCCCGGGCUUAACCUGGGAAUUGCGUUGGAGACUGCAAGGCUAGAAUCUGGCAGAGGGGGGUAGAAUUCCACGUGUAGCAGUGAAAUGCGUAGAGAUGUGGAGGAACACCGAUGGCGAAGGCAGCCCCCUGGGUCAAGAUUGACGCUCAUGCACGAAAGCGUGGGGAGCAAACAGGAUUAGAUA